CUUGGCACUGGCGGAAUAAUCACGUGAUAAGACUGUGAUUAUUUUCCGGUGCCAAAGU
RNAcentral lists this microRNA precursor (58 nucleotides) under Nautilus pompilius. Its description in RNAcentral is "Npo-Mir-96-P1h_pre stem-loop". Lineage: Eukaryota; Metazoa; Mollusca; Cephalopoda; Nautilida; Nautilidae. The record is from RNAcentral.